Molecule: non-coding RNA, 2089 nt
Organism: Elaeis guineensis (African oil palm)
Lineage: Eukaryota; Viridiplantae; Streptophyta; Magnoliopsida; Arecales; Arecaceae
Source: RefSeq, a predicted model, not a curated record
UUCUUAGAGCUCUUCAAGUGAUUAAGAUUAUGCUGCAUUUUGUGAUAAAUAUUGGAACGUUGUAGUAUAUUUCACGUGCUUUUAACACACAUUGAUUACCUAAAUAAACAUUUUCCUGUUGAUUUUUCUGUUUAUGUUGAAUAAAUAUUUUACUUAUUUGUGGAGGUCUUUUUAAAUUUUUAUAGUGGAUUUACCAUUUUCUAAUAUUAGGUUCUUCAUGCUUCCAAACUCCCAUAACUAUGUUAUUAUAUGUCUAGCUUUAUAUUAUCACAACCAAAAUCUGUUGGAGGAAGUUUUGUGUAAGACUUUCAGAUUCGAAGGACCUCAGUUCAUUGGACGGUGCACUAUUUCUACUUAAACAUAGUUGUUUUGCUUUUGACCAAAACAUAGAUUAUAAAUAGAUUUAAUGAAAUGUGAAGUUGGUUAUUGUUCAGGAGUAAAGCAAAUGGAUUGCCUUGGAUGUGAUUUAUAUUGGAGCAGAUGGGAGGAGAGAGUUGUGUGAUGGUGAUGGGCAUGGUGUGAUAGGUCAUUUGCUUGGUGGGUGUUUUACUUGGUUAGAUUUCAUUUAAUGGCUUAAAAGGGGUCUGUGAUCGUAAUUGAUGUGUACAGGCCAUAAAUCUUUGGUUGGAGGUAGCUUUUUGAAGGAAAUAGAAAGCAUGUACAAAAGGUAGGCUAAUCCUUGGUAUCUGCAGGUGACUCCAGUGUAAAAACAGAGGUUAAUGUGAGGUAUUCUAUGAAAUUCCUGGAUUUUGUUUUUGACAUGACAUGAGUUGGAGGUCAUCACUUGAAGUGCUAAAAGAGGAAGAUUAGUGCGCCAAUGAAGAAUUCUAUAAUUUCAGAGGUUAAGAGGGUUUUAGUGCUCUUUUUAGGGCUCAUCGGUAGGUUAGAUCUUGAUAUUGGCCGGGCCUGGGGCUGAUAGUUUUUAUAAGUUAGUGGAUAAUGAGGACUAUAAUAGUCACAUAAGUUAUGACUGACCACCACAUGGUCUAGCUCAUGAAUGAGUAAGCUCACACCUAUGAGUGAGUGAGGCACUUCAAAACUUGAGUGAGUUGGAUAUCUUAAAAUGUUGAGAAGGGACAUGAAGUUUACCAUGGGCUGAGCAAAGUGGAAGGAAGCCCUGGUACUAGGGAAAGAGAAGGGGCCUUCUUCAUGUCUUUUCAGAUGUUCAUUUUCAGGCUAUUUGGUGUGUUUUGGGUUGAUAAUUGAUACGAACAGUUCUCGUUGAUAUUUAGUUCUUUGAGCCUUUCAACAGUAUGCCUUUCUUCUUUUUGUAGUACGCUAAAAAACUUGCACGUAUCUCCUGAGCCACUUGGAAAGAGAUGUGCUUUGCCUCUGAAAAAAAAAAAAGCUGCAAUGAUGCAUUAUUUUUGUGAGAUGCUUUUCAACCUGGCAGGUAUAAGCUAGUGGGAAGUUUUUAAGAAUGCCUUUAGACCACUUUUUAGAGAGCCAGAAGGAAUUAAAUUUCGUGAAGUAUCUUUGGCUAGAGAGCAGAGCAAUUUGUUGAGGUUUCUUUGCUCUUUCUGCAUGUUCCUCGCUGCAUGAAGAAUGAAUUUUGGCGCGUGCUAUUCAUCACAACACACAUCCUCAAAGGAAUUGUUGCUUCAGUUAGCGCUUUAUUGGCAAAUGGUGCAUCUUCUUUCCGUGUGUUGGCUGAUCUGACUGCUUUUCGUCUGACUUUACUGUUUUUAGGCUCUCCAACUGGCUAAUGAAUUGGCAUUAUUAUCUUCACCUUGCACAUAAAUUUUCAUGAAUUCUAGCUUGAAUCCAUGGCAUGUUUUGCUUGAAUUCCAGGUUUGUGGAACUUAGCAUGGCGCUUCACGCCAUGCAAGCUUUGGUGCUUUGACUGUCUUUUCCUAACCAAAGCAGCCAUUUUGUUUUUUGUUUAAAUAAACGAAAUGCGUCGCAGUAAAAGUUUUCACUGUAAAUAAAAAGUUGUAAAUUUUUCUGCAUGCUUGUGUCUGCAUGAAGAAUGAAUGUUGGUUAUGCUAUUUAUGACAACACCCACACAUCCUUAAAUGUUUGUGAUUAUGACCAUCUUUUGAACAUUGAUGUUAGGAAUUGUCUGUUCUGAUUUGAGUGUCACUGGGCA